UGAGGAAUAUUGGGCAAUGCCCGCAAGGGUGACCCAGCAACGCCGCGUGGAGGAUGAAUGUCGUAAGAUUGUAAACUCCUGUUAGAGGGGAAGAAUAGUACCGGUUGGACCGGUAUAUGACUGUACCCUCAGGGACAGCCCCGGCUAACUACGUGCCAGCAGCCGCGGUAAUACGUAGGGGGCAAGCGUUGUCCGGAUUUACUGGGUGUAAAGGGCGCGCAAGCGGGAUAAAAAGUCAGUGGUGAAAUCCUACAGCUUAACUGUAGAACUGCCUUUGAUACUUUUAUUCUUGAGUGCGGGAGAGAGAGACGGAAUUCCAGGUGUAGGGGUGAAAUACGUAGAUAUCUGGAAGAACACCAGUUGCGAAGGCGGUCUCUUGGUCCGACACUGACGCUGAGGCGCGAAAGCGUGG
Molecule: ribosomal RNA, 412 nt
Filed under: uncultured bacterium
Lineage: Bacteria
Description: bacterial SSU rRNA
Rfam family: Bacterial small subunit ribosomal RNA
Source: RNAcentral